This 188-nucleotide long non-coding RNA is filed under the name Rhinopithecus bieti (black snub-nosed monkey). RNAcentral describes it as "lncRNA (ENSRBIG00000045106.1)". Lineage: Eukaryota; Metazoa; Chordata; Mammalia; Primates; Cercopithecidae. The record is from RNAcentral.
CCAUCUCUCCCACACCUGCUGACUGAUGAAUUCCUGUGUGUUUUGUAUCCAUGACCCAAAUCAGGUAAAAGCUGCAUAGAGAAAUGGGAGGCGGUGAGCACAAGGAUCAUGUGACGCCCUGCUGUGGGUGUGGGACCUGCGGCCUCAGGGGCAUGCGGGCUGGCAGCCGCUGUCUCCAUGCCGGAUGA